Molecule: small nuclear RNA, 107 nt
Organism: Saimiri boliviensis boliviensis (Bolivian squirrel monkey)
Lineage: Eukaryota; Metazoa; Chordata; Mammalia; Primates; Cebidae
Source: Ensembl
GUGCUUGCUUCGGCAGCAUAUGUACUAAAAUUGGAACAAUACAGAGAAGAUUAGUGUGGCCGCUGCGCAACGAUAACUUGCAAAUUUGUGAAGCGUUCCCUCAUAUU